Long non-coding RNA from Benincasa hispida (wax gourd), 485 nucleotides. RefSeq lists it as uncharacterized. The record is from RefSeq and is a predicted model, not a curated record. Lineage: Eukaryota; Viridiplantae; Streptophyta; Magnoliopsida; Cucurbitales; Cucurbitaceae.
GUUAGUAGGGAAGGUGGACAUCCUUCUUCGAGAAAAUUUGAGAAAGGAUGAAGACAAAAUCUAUAAUUUUUUUUCAACCUUUCUUUUUUUAGUAAAAGAAACAUGAAAUUUACUUAAACUUUAAGCUUAUAUACAAUGAAAGGGAGAGGUUGCUUUUACAAAGGAUUGCUUCAUGGGUUGCUUAGGAUGGAUGAAAUAUGGAGAGGUGCUUGAGAGAAUGAAAUGAAAAGGUUGGAAUAUAAAAGAGUUCCUCGUUGGGUAGGGUGCCUUGCCCUAGAAGAAUAUGUCGGUGGUUGCAGGUCUUAAAUGGUUUACUGCUUGGUAUUUGAGUAUGAGUUGUGAUUUGAAUGUGGAAUAUUGGUUAACGUACCAUGAUUAUUGAAUAUGAAUUGUAAGCAUGAGUGGCGUGUUGUUUUAUAUACCCUAUAUUUGUAUUCAUACUUGCAUUUGCAUAGUAAUCUUUCUUAACGUUCUAAAUUUUCAUA